CCUGCUCCUUGAGGUGUUGCAGUCCGACUGCGUGUUGAGCCUGUGUCAUGAGGGGCGGAGAGUAACAGGGCUAUGUCUACGCCGAGGACUCAGAACAGUGGGUGCUUGGAGUGAUUGAUAGAAACGACAUU
Small nucleolar RNA from Oncorhynchus mykiss (rainbow trout), 131 nucleotides. NCBI's taxonomy places the organism in Eukaryota, Metazoa, Chordata, Actinopteri, Salmoniformes, Salmonidae. The record is from Ensembl.